UUUAUAAGUUGCUAGCUAUCCCAUAAAGCCACCACCGAAAACCACAUAUUUUCAUCUUCCUCUGAAGACGAUGCAAAGUUUAAAACAAUUCUAAGUAUGCUGCGUCCAUCUAACAACGGAGCCUUCAACAGCAAGGGGGCGUUGUGUUUCCAAUCUGUUGUGGACAUCCCCAUUGAAAUGUAGUACAUCUGGCGCAAUGUAACAGAGUGCUUAUGGGUAAUGCAAACUUUAGAGGCUUUAGGGUUGUCAGACAAUUUUUGGGCCAAACUUAGCUCAAAUUCUACACGUCGGAAUAAAACGAGGCUACAGCGUCCAUAAGGUAACCAUUAAGCCUCGUUCACAUUACCCAUAAGCACUCCAUACAUUGUGCUGGAUGUCAUGCAUUUCAAUGGGGACGUCCACAAUGGAGUGGAAUUACAUCGCCCCCUUGGGGUUGAAGGCGCCGAUGCAAGAAGGACACUACGUAAUUUGACAUUUUCCAAACUUUGUUUUGUCUUCAGUCCAGCCAGAGUCCGAAUGUUACCAAACCACAGAAGAAGAUGAAAAUAUGUGGUUUUCGUUGAUGGAUGAUGGCUGCAAUCCACUCCCAGUUAAGCGGGGUCCGUUCAGGCCUCCGUCAGCUCCACAAUGCCUUGGGGGAUGUGAUGGACAUCCAGAACUCCCUGCCCGGUAGAAGUCAGCAAUGACUGGAGGCAAAACAUUAACACCAUUGAGAACCUGAAGUACGUAAAAUAUGCUGGGACGCAACAUCAGCGGAGGCUCCUCAGAAGAGGAAGACAAUACUGCUUGGUGACCUACAGAUUAUUUUUGGAGAUGGUUAUCGGUGCGGAGAAGCUAGGCACAAGACACUGAAUUCCCUGAAAACAUUUCCAGCGCCUACUUCAGUCCAAGUCAAGCACUGGUCUAACUGAAUGUGGAUGUUGUGUUGGCUGAAUGUUCCAGGCACGCUCCAGAAUGUUCUUCUGCUGGUGAACCUUGUCUUGUGUUGGGCAAUGGCAGCUGGUCUGGCAGAAGUUCAUGAGCUCCAUGACCUUGGACUCAUAGACUUUGGCUCUUGCCAGCCCCAUGCAGUCAACCCCAUGCAGUCUUUUCCUCUUCCGAGUCAGAUGAUGUUGAGCUUGAGUUUUUUCCCGGAUGAAAGAUUUCAUCCAAUGGGUCUACAGAAUCUGUACUUCUAAAGCAGAAGCACCAGGAUUAGUCUGUAGGACAUACACUAGUCAGUGAUUAGGCAAUAUUUUACUACUUUGUCCCCAUGAAUACACACUCCGACAAGCUACUAUCUCCACCCUUCACCCUUGUGUCAAUAGAUCAUGCAUACUAACCUUCACACACAGUACCCACUUCCAACAGACACCAGUCACCCACACCAUCCCCUCUUCACGAAGAACUAUGCUUUUCUCCGAUUUACACUUCAAGCUUUGCAUAAACAAUCAAUUAAUGCUGCAAUAUGUAACUUUUUGGGUGACUCACCAAAUUCACAUAAUUUGUUUUAACUAGGCAAGUCAGUUAAGAACAAAAUCAAAUUUGUAAUGAUGGCCAACAGUGGGUUAACUGCCUUGUUCAGGGGCAGAACGACAGAUUUCUAUCUUGUCAGCUUGGGGAUUCGAUCCAGCAACCUAUCAAUUACUGGCCCAAUUCUCUAACCACUAGGCUACCUGCCACCCCGAAAAUGUGAGUUAUAGAUCUGUCAUUCUCAUUGAAAGCAAGUCUAACAAGCGGUAGAUAAACUCUGCAGAAAAAGAAACGUCCUCUCACUGUCAACUGCGUUUAUUUUCAGCAAACUUAACAUGUGUAAAUAUUUGUAAGGACAUAACAAGAUUCAACAACUGAGACGUAAACUGAACAAGUUCCACAGACAUGUGACUAACAGAAAUUGAAUAAUGCAUUUCCACCAGAGCUGUUGCCAGAGAAUUUAAUGUUCAUUUCUCUACCAUAAGUCACCUCCAACGUCGUUUUAGACAAUUUGUCAGUAUGUCCAACUGGCCUCACAACCGCAGACCACGUAUAACCAAGGCAGCCCAGGACUUCCACAUCCGGCUUCUUCACCUGUGGGAUCAUCUGACCAGCCACCCAGACAGCUGAUGAGUCUGAAGAGUAUUUCUGUCUGUAAUAAAGCGCAUUUGUGGGGAAAAAUGUAUUCUGUUUGCCUGGGCAAUGUCCCCCUUUGAAAUCUCAAGAUUAUGGCUUAAUGAAUUUAUUUCAAUUGACUGAUUUCGUUAUAUAAACUGUAACUCGUUGAAAUUGUUGCGUUAGCUUGCAUUAGCUUGCAUUAGCUUGCAAAGGUACAAAUCACAUCGCCAGAUAGCAGCUGGCUAAUUACAUUGAUUUGCUUUGGAAUGUCUAGCCAGUGUAUCAUGAAAUAUAGCUAGAUUUUUGUUUAGAUAAACAAAUGUAGUUCGUUAGGUAGCUAGGUUAGCUAUGUUCCUUCUCCUUGACACAUUAGUAAGGUAACAGAUGAAAUGAUACCCCAACAGGCUGUGCUUGCUUCUAGUUUGCACAUCAAGGUACUGAGCACCCACCAUGACUAAACUUUACAGUUGUUAUCGACAUACAAAGAAAAAGAAAAAGUUAUAUUAUAUGAAUGAGUGGCUGUCCUGUAAGUAACAUUAGCCACCUCAACAGGGGAGGUACUUCGUCCUUAAAUUGCUAUGAAUUCUGGAUAUUGUUGUUUGGUUACAACCAGGAAACACUUUUAUGGUUACUACAUGAUUCCAUACAGUAUGUGUUAUUUCAUAGUUCUGAUGCCGUCACUAUUAUUCUACAGUGUAGAAAAUGGUAAAAAUAAAGAAAAACCCUU
This 2797-nucleotide long non-coding RNA is filed under the name Salmo salar (Atlantic salmon). RNAcentral's name for it is "lncRNA (ENSSSAG00000115355.1)". Lineage: Eukaryota; Metazoa; Chordata; Actinopteri; Salmoniformes; Salmonidae. The record is from RNAcentral.